CCUAUUUUGAUGUUUCUCAUGUUCUCGUGUACUUCCUAUAAGAUACUACAAAAUCACAGUUAAUGAUAAAACAAGGGCCUCUGUAUUUCCUUUUCUGUUGUCUACAGAGUAAAACUAUUGUAUGCUGUUUGCAUCUUAUUUUCCUGGCCCUCAGUUAUGAUUCUGUCAAUGACACAACUACUUUUAGUAUCACUGAUGUAUAUACUAGUUUUAGUGUUCAUCAUUCUAUAUCAAAUACAUCCUGCUAUGUCGCUAAUGCUUGUCUGGUUUUGCACUUGUCAGGAUGGAAAUGUUUUUCGGCAGCUUUCUCAGUGAAUCAGCAUCAUCACAGAACCUUUUUGGCCACCCAGAUGUUGAGAGAUGCCCAUUCCUGAGAAACAUCAAUGGAGCUACAACCUUUUCAUUUACUUCUGCGUUGCCAGUAGCUGUAAGAUCUGUUUCCUAUGACCUUUUGUGUUGGCAGCGAUCACUGUCAUUGGAUCAUCAGUUCCUUGACAAUAUGUGGUAUUGUGCAGGCCCGAGGAGGCAAGGGUCCAAUUUUUGAGGAUGGACCAGGCUUUGAGUCAGCAUUCAAGCUUUUCCAUGGCAGGGAUGGAAUAGUUCCCCUUUCAGAAAGAUCGUAUGUGCCUGAUGAGAGCCACAAUGAGAACAUUAAUGUGAAGACCGAACCUGCUCUGCCGUUUAAUCCAUUGGCUGCUAGAGCAGCCACAAUAAGUCUAUCAGCAUUUGGACCAUUUGGUUUUGGCUUUUUCAACGGCAAGGGCAAAAGGCAGAACAAGAAGCCCAACAAUCUAGAUCAGUCCCACCAGAAACCCAAGACACCAGAUCAGUCUUCCAUGAAAGUUUGUUCUGACGCUUCUUUUUUCAUUAUGCAUCUCAUUUCCAUCUGAUGAUAUGCUAUAAUUUUUUUUAUUCUUUCUGUUGUAAUAUCAACCCAGGGCUCAGUAUGUACUGUCACUUAUUUUACAUUUCAUCCAAAGUCAGAACAUUUACUAGCUAUUCAUUAGAUGGCUAUAUCCAAGGGCUAAUGUAGUUGCUCAGAAAACCAUAGCUAUCUCAUUCUUCCUGCCUUUAGUUUAUCUUAUUAUCUGUAUUCUCAUUAUCUUUCCUUUGUUCUUUUCAGCAAAAGGGAGUCAACCCACCAUCGCACGAGGCAUUCAGCGAAGAAUGGUUGGAAAAUGGCCAGUGCCCACUUGCGCGGUCUUAUCGGGCAAUGAGUGGUGUUUUGCCCCUUGUCGCCAAGGCUUUACAGCCACCAGCUGGUAUGAAGCUGAAGUGCCCACCUGCUGUGGUUGCUAUCCGAGCCGCCCUUGCACGAACUGCGCUUGUGAAAUCCCUCCGACCGCAGCCACUGCCUGCAAAGAUGGUAGCCAUUGCACUACUGGGAAUGGCAGCAAAUAUCCCUCUUGGUGUCUGGAGGGAGCACACCAAGAAGUUCUCUCCUCAGUGGUUCGCAGCUGUCCAUGCUGCUGUUCCCUUAAUUGCAAUGCUGCGGAAGUCUGUUGUGAUGCCCAGGACUGCGAUGGCAUUCACCAUAGCAGCCUCCAUUAUUGGUCAGACUAUUGGGUCAAGGGCCGAGCGCAUCCGUCUGAGGAAUCUGGCUGCAAAGGGUGCUGUUAAUGCUACAACAACUGCUGCCAUGUAUCCAAACAAGAAUGGGAAUUGCAGCGACACUGAGGGCAAGGCAUGGGAUCCCCUCGCGACAAAGAUGGCUGGCUCAGCUGCUAGGGGUGCACCUGCGCCAACCACUAGCAUGUGCUUCUGAUUGUGCUGUGCGUGUAAUUCACAGAAAUGCCUGCAGAGAUUAUGCCUCAACUACUUUAUAGUGUCAUGU
RNAcentral lists this long non-coding RNA (1834 nucleotides) under Setaria viridis. Its description in RNAcentral is "long non-coding RNA (SVIR_LNC006133)". The record is from RNAcentral. Lineage: Eukaryota; Viridiplantae; Streptophyta; Magnoliopsida; Poales; Poaceae.